CAUGGGUAGCAAACAGGAUUUGGUACCCUGGUAGUCCAUGCUAUAAACAAUGAAUAUUAAAUGUUUAAUAUAAAAUUUAACAUAAAAAGUUAACACGUUAAAUAUUUCGCCUGGGGAGUAAAACCGCAAGGUUGAAACUCAAAGGAAUUGACGGGAGCUUAUACUUACGGUGGAGCAUGUGGUUUAAUCCGAUAGUCCGCGUGGAAUCUUACCAAUUUUUGACAGUCCUAAGUUAUACCUAGAAACAGGUGUUGCAUGGCCGUCGUCAGCUUAUGUUUUGAAAUUUAAGAUAUAAGUACAACCCUUACUUUAAUUUACUAAUAUUCAAAAAAAUUAAAAAUAUUUAAUUAUAUUGAAUAAGUACUAUUAAAUUUGAAAUAUGUAAAUAUUUUAAAGGAUGAAGAUAGGUCGUUAUGACCCUUAUAAAUU
RNAcentral lists this ribosomal RNA (429 nucleotides) under Blastocystis sp. RNAcentral's name for it is "partial small subunit ribosomal RNA". It matches the Rfam family "Bacterial small subunit ribosomal RNA", at positions 760 to 1210 of the family's 1533-position model. Lineage: Eukaryota; Bigyra; Opalinata; Blastocystidae. The record is from RNAcentral.